AAACUAUGGAUAGUAUCGGGGGGUAAUAUCCAUGGAAAAGUGAGAAUACAGUAAUCUAAGACCAAUAUAAAUAAAAAUCAAGAUUUCUACAGUACCUGAAGAGGUGGUAGUUUUUUUCUUGUGCUAAUGUUAUCACGAGUUUCUGUUUAAGUUUUAUGUUGUGAAGUUUUCAAGUUUUGGGUGAUGUUCUAAUGGACAAAGAGAUAAGGAGUGGAAAGAGAUCAAGCUUGGGGAUGCCCAAGGCAUCCCAAGCCAAAUUCAAGGACACCAAAAAGCCUAAGCUUGGGGAUGCCCCGGGAAGGCAUCCCCUCUUUCGUCUUCAAUCCAUCGGUAACAUUACUUGGAGCUAUAUUUUUAUUCACCACAUGAUAUGUGUUUUGCUUGGAGCGUCAUUUUAUUUUUUUAUAAUAAGGUACUUAGGAUCUGAAAUUCUUAGAUGGGAGAGUC
This 447-nucleotide long non-coding RNA is filed under the name Hordeum vulgare. Its description in RNAcentral is "long non-coding RNA (HVUL_LNC011421)". Lineage: Eukaryota; Viridiplantae; Streptophyta; Magnoliopsida; Poales; Poaceae. The record is from RNAcentral.